Molecule: ribosomal RNA, 353 nt
Filed under: uncultured Gigaspora
Lineage: Eukaryota; Fungi; Glomeromycota; Glomeromycetes; Diversisporales; Gigasporaceae
Description: SSU rRNA
Rfam family: Eukaryotic small subunit ribosomal RNA
Source: RNAcentral
AGCAGCCGCGGUAAUUCCAGCUCCAAUAGCGUAUAUUAAAGUUGUUGCAGUUAAAAAGCUCGUAGUUGAAUUUCGGGGUUCCACCGUUGGUCGGGCAAUAGUCUGUACUGGCGUGUGGAAUUUCUACCUUCUGGGGAACCAUUAUGUUAUUUAUUUAGCGUGGUGGGAAACCAGGACCUUUACCUUGAAAAAAUUAGAGUGUUCAAAGCAGGCUUACGUCUGAAUACAUUAGCAUGGAAUAAUAAAAUAGGACGGUGGUCCUGUUUUGUUGGUUUCUGAAUCACCGUAAUGAUUAAUAGGGAUAGUUGGGGGCAUUAGUAUUCAAUUGUCAGAGGUGAAAUUCUUGGAUUUAU